AGAGUUUGAUCAUGGCUCAGGAUGAACGCUAGCGGCAGGCCUAAUACAUGCAAGCCGAACGGCAAGACUUUCAGCAAUGGAAGUCCUAGAGUGGCGUAAGGGUGCGUAACACGUAUGCAAUCUGCCCUCAACAGGAGGAUAGCUCCCCGAAAGGGGAAUUAAUACUUCAUAGGAUGUAGGAGUGGCAUCACUACUACAUUAAACUACGGGGUUGAGGAUGAGCAUGCGCAUGAUUAGUUAGUUGGCGGGGUAACGGCCCACCAAGACGAUGAUCAUUAGGGGAACUGAGAGGUUGAUCCCCCACACUGGCACUGAGAUACGGGCCAGACUCCUACGGGAGGCAGCAGUAGGGAAUAUUGGACAAUGGGUGCGAGCCUGAUCCAGCCAUGCCGCGUGCAGGAAGAAAGCCUUCUGGGUUGUAAACUGCUUUUCUCUGGGGAUAAAAGAGCCUUGCGAGGCGAAUUGAAGGUACCAGAGGAAUAAGCCACGGCUAACUACGUGCCAGCAGCCGCGGUAAUACGUAGGUGGCAAGCGUUGUCCGGAUUUAUUGGGUUUAAAGGGUGCGUAGGCGGUGAUUUAAGUCAGUGGUGAAAUACGGCAGCUCAACUGUCGAGGUGCCAUUGAUACUGGGUCACUUGAGUACUGAUGAGGUAGGCGGAAUGGACGGUGUAGCGGUGAAAUACUUAGAGAUCGUCCAGAACACCGAUAGCGAAGGCAGCUUACUAAGGAGUAACUGACGCUGAGGCACGAAAGUGUGGGGAUCAAACAGGAUUAGAUACCCUAGUAGUCC
This 790-nucleotide ribosomal RNA is filed under the name uncultured bacterium. RNAcentral's name for it is "bacterial SSU rRNA". It matches the Rfam family "Bacterial small subunit ribosomal RNA", at positions 8 to 796 of the family's 1533-position model. The record is from RNAcentral.